RNAcentral lists this long non-coding RNA (1263 nucleotides) under Marmota monax (woodchuck). The record is from RNAcentral. Lineage: Eukaryota; Metazoa; Chordata; Mammalia; Rodentia; Sciuridae.
CUCUGUCUGUCAUAUGUGAUACUGUUUACCUCCUUUAUUUACUAUCAGAAAAUACAGAAAGCUGGGCAAUUGCACACGCCUAUAAUCCCAGCCUAUAAUCCCAGCGGCUUUGGAGACUGAGACAGAGGGAUUGCCUCAGCAAUUUAGUGAGGCCCUAAACAACUAGUGAGACCCUACCUCUAAAUAAAAUACAAAAUGGGCUGGGGAUGUGGCUCAGUGGCCAGUGCCCCUGAGUUCAAUCGCUGGUACCCACCCCCACAAAAAAAGAAAGAAAAGAAAUCCAAAUGGGAAAGAAUGAAAACAUCAGAGGGCCUCUGAGCUUGAAUCAUCUAGUUUAGUCUCCUCUUUCAGGACCUUAGGCCUAGGGAGGUAAAGGCAUGUAUGUGCCCAAGGUCACAGAGAAAUUCAGGGGGAAGCAAGUCCUAUCUCGACUCCCAAGCCAGCACUCUUAAAAUCAGCACUCUUACAUUUUUAGACUUUUACUAUAUUUACUUUUUUGUAAUGUUCUAGUUUAGAUUUGUAGUGUCCCCCAGAGUCUCAUGUGUCAGACUCAGUCACCAUCCUGGAACAUUAUUGAUAGAUCAUGGAAAUGUUAGAAGGUGGAGCCUACUGAAAGGAAGUUAGAUCAUUGGGGAUGUGCCUUUGAAUGAGUACAUUAGGACCUCUGCUCCUUCUUUUCUUUGCUUCCUGACCUUGAAUUGAGCAGGUUGCUCAGCCACUUGCUCCCCACCUGUGCUUCACCACAGAGCCAAAAACAUCAGAGCCACCUGACCAUGGACUGAGCAUCUGAAAGCAUAAGCCAAAAUAAAUCUUUCCUCCUUUUAAGUCAUUUACCUCAGGUAUUUUGCCACAAUGAUGGAAAGAUGACUAACAGAGGAAAUGUAUACCAGGAUACCAGGAGUGGAGCCACUGCUUUAAUUAUACCUGACAGUGUGGUUCAGAAACCUUUGGAAUUGAUUUGUAGGAGGAAUUUGGAGACGUUCAGAGAAGCAGACUACGACUACAGAAAGCUUAGAACUGUGUAAGCAGAGCUCAAUGGGGGAUUCUAGUUGGAGCUCAGGAGACAGGAUGCUGAGAGGAAUGUGAACAGUAAAGACUGUACUGAUGAAAUUUCAGAUGGAAAUGAAGGCUCUAUUUGGAAUUGGGCUAGAGGCCAUUCAUGUAAUAUGCUGACAUAGAACUUGUCUACAUUUUGUCCAGACCCUGAGACUUUAUGAGAACCUGAGUUGAAAGGUCAUGGACUAAUUAACCUGGAAGAGGAAA